AUACAUGCAGUCGAGCGAACAGAUAAGGAGCUUGCUCCUUUGACGUUAGCGGCGGACGGGUGAGUAACACGUGGGUAACCUACCUAUAAGACUGGGAUAACUUCGGGAAACCGGAGCUAAUACCGGAUAACAUUUGGAACCGCAUGGUUCUAAAGUGAAAGAUGGUUUUGCUAUCACUUAUAGAUGGACCCGCGCCGUAUUAGCUAGUUGGUAAGGUAACGGCUUACCAAGGCAACGAUACGUAGCCGACCUGAGAGGGUGAUCGGCCACACUGGAACUGAGACACGGUCCAGACUCCUACGGGAGGCAGCAGUAGGGAAUCUUCCGCAAUGGGCGAAAGCCUGACGGAGCAACGCCGCGUGAGUGAUGAAGGGUUUCGGCUCGUAAAACUCUGUUAUUAGGGAAGAACAAACGUGUAAGUAACUGUGCACGUCUUGACGGUACCUAAUCAGAAAGCCACGGCUAACUACGUGCCAGCAGCCGCGGUAAUACGUAGGUGGCAAGCGUUAUCCGGAAUUAUUGGGCGUAAAGCGCGCGUAGGCGGUUUCUUAAGUCUGAUGUGAAAGCCCACGGCUCAACCGUGGAGGGUCAUUGGAAACUGGGAAACUUGAGUGCAGAAGAGGAAAGUGGAAUUCCAUGUGUAGCGGUGAAAUGCGCAGAGAUAUGGAGGAACACCAGUGGCGAAGGCGACUUUCUGGUCUGUAACUGACGCUGAUGUGCGAAAGCGUGGGGAUCAAACAGGAUUAGAUACCCUGGUAGUCCACGCCGUAAACGAUGAGUGCUAAGUGUUAGGGGGUUUCCGCCCCUUAGUGCUGCAGCUAACGCAUUAAGCACUCCGCCUGGGGAGUACGACCGCAAGGUUGAAACUCAAAGGAAUUGACGGGGACCCGCACAAGCGGUGGAGCAUGUGGUUUAAUUCGAAGCAACGCGAAGAACCUUACCAAAUCUUGACAUCCUUUGAAAACUCUAGAGAUAGAGCCUUCCCCUUCGGGGGACAAAGUGACAGGUGGUGCAUGGUUGUCGUCAGCUCGUGUCGUGAGAUGUUGGGUUAAGUCCCGCAACGAGCGCAACCCUUAAGCUUAGUUGCCAUCAUUAAGUUGGGCACUCUAGGUUGACUGCCGGUGACAAACCGGAGGAAGGUGGGGAUGACGUCAAAUCAUCAUGCCCCUUAUGAUUUGGGCUACACACGUGCUACAAUGGACAAUACAAAGGGCAGCUAAACCGCGAGGUCAUGCAAAUCCCAUAAAGUUGUUCUCAGUUCGGAUUGUAGUCUGCAACUCGACUACAUGAAGCUGGAAUCGCUAGUAAUCGUAGAUCAGCAUGCUACGGUGAAUACGUUCCCGGGUCUUGUACACACCGCCCGUCACACCACGAGAGUUUGUAACACCCGAAGCCGGUGGAGUAACCAUUUAUGGAGCUAGCCGUCGAAG
Molecule: ribosomal RNA, 1430 nt
Rfam family: Bacterial small subunit ribosomal RNA